UUUGUAAUUUCUGAUUCAAAUUUUUUAAACUUUUGCAAUUAAAUCUCAUAAUCCAAUUUAGAUUAUUAGAUGAUGUUGUGCCAUUAAGCAUAAUUAUGUGGGACAUUUUAGUCAUUGUGACACAAUUAACUGCAAAAUUGUUAUAUCACUAUCGCAUUAUUAAUAUAUCGACAUUCAGCCAACUAACAUUCAGUAUAUUUUAGAUUUUGAAAGAACGUAAAAACUCCCAUUAUAAAUUAUAAUAUAAUAAAAUUA
This 255-nucleotide long non-coding RNA is filed under the name Ananas comosus (pineapple). RNAcentral's name for it is "long non-coding RNA (ACOM_LNC042766)". The record is from RNAcentral. Lineage: Eukaryota; Viridiplantae; Streptophyta; Magnoliopsida; Poales; Bromeliaceae.